UACGUAGGGGGCAAGCGUUGUCCGGAUUUAUUGGGCGUAAAGAGCUCGUAGGCGGUUUGUCGCGUCUGCUGUGAAAUCCCGAGGCUCAACCUCGGGCCUGCAGUGGGUACGGGCAGACUAGAGUGCGGUAGGGGAGAUUGGAAUUCCUGGUGUAGCGGUGGAAUGCGCAGAUAUCAGGAGGAACACCGGUGGCGAAGGCGGUUCUCUGGGCAUUACCUGACGCUGAGGAGCGAAAGCAUGGGGAGCGAACAGG
RNAcentral lists this ribosomal RNA (253 nucleotides) under uncultured bacterium. Its description in RNAcentral is "partial 16S ribosomal RNA". It matches the Rfam family "Bacterial small subunit ribosomal RNA", at positions 524 to 776 of the family's 1533-position model. The record is from RNAcentral.